This 279-nucleotide ribosomal RNA is filed under the name uncultured bacterium. Its description in RNAcentral is "partial 16S ribosomal RNA". It matches the Rfam family "Bacterial small subunit ribosomal RNA", at positions 506 to 784 of the family's 1533-position model. The record is from RNAcentral.
UGCCAGCAGCCGCGGUAAUACGGAGGGUGCUAGCGUUGUUCGGAAUUACUGGGCGUAAAGAGCAUGUAGGCGGAUGAAUUAGUCAGAGGUGAAAUCCCCGGGCUCAACCCGGGAACUGCACUUGAUACUGCGAUGCUAGAGUUCGGAAGAGGGUAGUGGAAUUCCCAGUGUAGAGGUGAAAUUCGUAGAUAUUGGGAAGAACACCAGUGGCGAAGGCGGCUACCUGGUCCGAUACUGACGCUGAGGCACGAAAGCGUGGGUAGCGAACGGGAUUAGAUA